Molecule: long non-coding RNA, 274 nt
Filed under: Brassica napus (rape)
Lineage: Eukaryota; Viridiplantae; Streptophyta; Magnoliopsida; Brassicales; Brassicaceae
Description: long non-coding RNA (BNAP_LNC021096)
Source: RNAcentral
UUCUUAAAAAAAUUUAUAAAAUAUUCUCAACACAAGUUUGUUUUUAGAGAUCAUUGUUGUUGUUACUCACUCAUGUACAAAAAAUAAUCUAAGAACACAGGUAAAUGUAUACAUAAAAGUAGACGGAAUCAUCAUUUGCUCAUAGAAAUGCAGAAACACACACAAGAUCUAUCUAUCUACGGAAGCAAGAAAUGGUACUUACAAGAUGGGCAAGCACUUCACAAUCACUCUCGGUAUGGUACUUGUGAGACUUCAGACUUUCAGUUUCACGCAA